AUGAGGUUUCACCAUGUUGGCCAGGCUGGUCUGACCAGCCUGGCCAACAUGGUGAAACCUCAU
This 63-nucleotide microRNA precursor is filed under the name Gorilla gorilla gorilla (western lowland gorilla). RNAcentral describes it as "mir-1285 microRNA precursor family". It matches the Rfam family "mir-1285 microRNA precursor family". Lineage: Eukaryota; Metazoa; Chordata; Mammalia; Primates; Hominidae. The record is from Rfam by way of RNAcentral.